CGCCAGGGCCCAUGGAACGCGGACUUACGAACCCCGCCAGGGCCGGAAGGCAGCAACGGUAGUUUGCUCCCGUCUGCCGUGGUCACCCUGGUAUUU
This 96-nucleotide signal recognition particle RNA is filed under the name Verrucomicrobiales bacterium. RNAcentral describes it as "signal recognition particle sRNA small type". It matches the Rfam family "Bacterial small signal recognition particle RNA". From Rfam's summary of the family: The signal recognition particle (SRP) is a universally conserved ribonucleoprotein involved in the co-translational targeting of proteins to membranes. Archaeal SRP consists of a 7S RNA and homologues of the eukaryotic SRP19 and SRP54 proteins. Lineage: Bacteria; Pseudomonadati; Verrucomicrobiota; Verrucomicrobiia; Verrucomicrobiales. The record is from RNAcentral.